Long non-coding RNA from Callithrix jacchus (white-tufted-ear marmoset), 808 nucleotides. The record is from Ensembl. Lineage: Eukaryota; Metazoa; Chordata; Mammalia; Primates; Cebidae.
CGCGGCUCCGGACCCCAGGCUGAGGCUGGCUAGAACGCUGCCCACCGACUCUAGGCGCUCGGGUCCCCGCCGGGCGACCUUGAACCUGGCGUGCUCGGUGAAGCCAGCACAGCCUCGGGAGCUGUAGAGACGCGGGACACAGGCAGAGCGUUCCUGCCCUCGGCCUAGGGGCUCGCCUCUGGCCCGGCUGGCCAUUCCCAGAGCACGCUGUCCCCCAGCUUUGGGAUCGCCAGCAGCCACGUCUAUGCUUCUAGAUCUCUUUUUUUUUUUUUUUUUUUUUGAGAUUUCAUUGAUAGCUGUUUAAGGAAUUAUAUGGAGGAAAUCUCUCCUCCGACCCCUGCCUCGGUUGUGAGCCCUGCCGGGUCGCUGGAUGGGCCAGGAGGAAAGGAAGGGGCGGGCAAGAAACAGCAAUUUUACUUUGAAUUUAAAUGACACAAAAAUAUUUUUUUCAACUCACAUUUUUCUGAGACAUCCCCAGAAAGCGUUGCCAGCUGUGAUUACAUCUAAUGUGAGAGCAGGAACUAAUUUAAGAGGUACCCAGCUUGCAGGAGUGCCAGAGUUAGAGUCCCAAGGUGUUCUUCAUGACCACAUGCUUGAUCCAGGCCUAUCAGGUGGACUCUUGCCCUCCACUCCUUCCGACUUGACGGUGAUACAGAGAACAUUCUCCAUCCUUCCGGUGAUUGCAUUCCUUCAUCUCUGUGGGGCCCCAGUGCAGAUGGAGCGGCUCUUGGGAGCAGCCUGGGCUUAUAGUGCAGCUCUCUGCUACCUGCAGCAGGCUGGUAUUCAGGGAGCUUGGAUGCACCACUGA